Carlito syrichta (Philippine tarsier) is the source of this 926-nucleotide long non-coding RNA. RefSeq lists it as uncharacterized. The transcript has 2 exons. The record is from RefSeq and is a predicted model, not a curated record. NCBI's taxonomy places the organism in Eukaryota, Metazoa, Chordata, Mammalia, Primates, Tarsiidae.
UGUUCGGCUAAAGACACCGUUAUUUUAUCUCACAGGACCUUAACCUCUCGGAGGUGAAGACGCAGGUAGAAAAGAGAUAUCCCGUCGAAGGAUGAAAGGAAGCGCCGGGCUUCACGACCCUAUCUGUUUAAAGCGCGACGUACGCGGGCUGCAUUCGGCGACAGCUCUCGGCCACCUUGCACCUUCUCAAGAGUUCUAGUUCUCAGGACUCCGGAGGAAAAGCUCAGAUGUAGCUGCUGACAGUGCUGGCACCGUCUGUUACUUCUCCCAGUAAGAUGAGAGCUAGGUUGGGAAAGCAGAUUGCAGGAAGUGAGUCGUGAACGAAGUGGACCGCUAGAUCUGUUGUUCAUGGGUGGAAGUUAAAUAGCCAUCGAUCCAAGACUGCCAAGAAUGCCUUUCUGGAGUUAGGUUGGAGGAGUUAGAUGAGUUUGCUUAAAUAGCUCUUAAGUAAAACCUGACUGAUGGUCUGUUAACUCAAGGUUAAAAUCUAUACCCUUAAGCUCCUGAGCCAAAAUUUUGAAAAAAUCCCACCCUUUUUAUUGUUUAUCCUAAGAAAGCCCUCAGCAUGAAACAAUGGUAGAGCAAUGGACUUGGUUUUAAGAUAUCACCCUAUAUGGCCUGGGGCAAGUCACAGCCAAUGGGUCCCAUAUUUCUUGCCUACACAAUGAAAUUAUUUGUAUUACCUGCUUUCUAAAGCUUCCAGUUCCAGGAUUCUAUAAGGGUAAGCUAUGGAUUUUUGUGCCACUUUGAACAGUAUUUAACAAGCCUGGGGAUGAAAAGGAGUAACCUGUUUUCUGUUCUCCAACAUUUAUUUCCUUUACCCCUUGUUAAGAUGGUCUUCAUCAAAUUGAAGUUUUAGUGUUUUGUCACUUAAGGAAAUGGCUAUGAGGUUAUUUUUUAAGUAGAUUAAAGGUACCUUCUCAACA